UUUUGGGUAUUUUCUAUGGUGAAAGUUCGCCUGCGACGCAGGAGGACGCGGGUUCGAUUCCCGCCUCGGAAA
RNAcentral lists this transfer RNA (72 nucleotides) under Operophtera brumata (winter moth). It matches the Rfam family "tRNA". Rfam says of the family: Transfer RNA (tRNA) molecules are approximately 80 nucleotides in length. Their secondary structure includes four short double-helical elements and three loops (D, anti-codon, and T loops). Lineage: Eukaryota; Metazoa; Arthropoda; Insecta; Lepidoptera; Geometridae. The record is from Rfam by way of RNAcentral.